RNAcentral lists this unclassified non-coding RNA (305 nucleotides) under fungal sp. Its description in RNAcentral is "partial internal transcribed spacer region". The stretch from base 1 to 46 matches the Rfam family "Eukaryotic small subunit ribosomal RNA", at positions 1786 to 1831 of the family's 1831-position model. Lineage: Eukaryota; Fungi. The record is from RNAcentral.
AAGUCGUAACAAGGUAACCGUAGGUGAACCUGCGGUUGGAUCAUUACUGAAAGGCGUUCGUUCGUUUCCUACGUUCGUUCCCACCCUUUGUGAACCGUUGUUGUCCCUGGCGGCGGGGUGCGCGUGGACCUUGGUCCCCGGACCCGUCAGCUUGUUGGGUCGUCUCCCCCUCGGGGGCCCGGCCCACUUGCCGUGGACAAACCGCCAAAUGUGUCCCGAACCUGCUAGUUCAACUUUGCCGUCUUAAUAUACACCUGGUAUGACAAAUACCUUAACAACUUUUGGCAACGGAUCUCUUGGCUCUC